Molecule: ribosomal RNA, 1318 nt
Filed under: uncultured Tintinnida
Lineage: Eukaryota; Ciliophora; Spirotrichea; Tintinnida
Description: eukaryotic LSU rRNA
Rfam family: Eukaryotic large subunit ribosomal RNA
Source: RNAcentral
UGAACUCAUUGAGAGUCGAGGCAGUGCAUGUUUACAUGCCAGUGCUUGGAUACACAAAUUUUCUCAGCAUCUGAAAUGAAGUAGGACCACCCGCUGAACUUAAGCAUAUCAUUAAGCGGAGGAAAAGAAACUAACAAGGAUUCCCCUAGUACGGGCGACGGAAGCGGGAAAAGCCCACACUGGUAAUCUCCGGGCGCUAGCUCGGCGAAUUGUAAUCUGAAGAUAGCUAGUCUACCUGGACCGGACGCCUAAGUGCGCUCGAGCGCGCCGCCGAAGAGGGUGAGAGCCCCGUACGGUGUCGGGUCCUACAAGGGCUGGUUGUCGAAGAGUCGUGUACUUUGAUACUAGUGCACUAAGCGGGAGAUAAACUUCUUCUAAGGCUAAAUACAAGUAGGAAACCGAUAGCGAACAAGUACUGUGAAGGAAAGAUGAAAAGCACUUUGGAAAGAAAGUUAAAAGACUUGAAAUCGUUGAGGCGGACCCGGUAGAAAUGUAUUCUAGCGAAGCGCCCUGGGAAGCCUGUAUUCGGGCCACUCGGGCGUCAGCCGAGACAAGAUGGAGUCGCCGGAUGCCAGAGGCCGAACGCGAGGGAGCUUGCUUCAGCGCGUGCGUGCCGGGUGUCGGGCGGCUUGAGGGGCUUUGAGCGAUCUUGUCAAAAUGGUUUUUACCGACUCGUCUUGAAACACGAACCAAGGAGUCUAAGACUAACGCGAGUGUGGUGGUGGAAAAACCAACACGCGAAAUGAAAGUAAACGAUGCCAAGCUCCCUGCAGCAUCGACCGACCACUUUCUCCUGGAAGAGGUUUGAGUAAGAGCGUUAUUCUUAGGACCCGAAAGAUGGUGAACUAUGCCUGUGUAGGGUGAAGUCAGGGGAAACUCUGAUGGAAGCUCGUAGCGAUACUGACGUGCAAAUCGUUCGUCGAACAUGGGUAUAGGGGCGAAAGACUAAUCGAACCAUCUAGUAGCUGGUUCCCUCCGAAGUUUCCCUCAGGAUAGCUGGGACAAGUACGCAGUUUUAUUAGGUAAAGCGAAUGAUUAGAGGCAUCGGGGAUAAAAUGUCCUUGACCUAUUCUCAAACUUUAAAUUGGUAAGAACUCCAUCCUUUUCUUAACUGAAGACGGAGGUUCAAUGCGUGUCCUUAGUGGGCCAUUUUUGGUAAGCAGAACUGGCGAUGAGGGGUGCUCCUAACGUCUGGUUAAGGUGCCAAACUACACGCUCAUCAGAAACUACAAAGGGUGUUAGUUCAUGAAGACAGCAGGACGGUGGCCAUGGAAGUCGGAACCCGCUAAGGAGUGUGUAACAACUCACCUGCCGAAUG